This 254-nucleotide ribosomal RNA is filed under the name uncultured bacterium. RNAcentral describes it as "partial 16S ribosomal RNA". It matches the Rfam family "Bacterial small subunit ribosomal RNA", at positions 524 to 776 of the family's 1533-position model. The record is from RNAcentral.
UACGUAGGGUGCGAGCGUUGUCCGGAAUUACUGGGCGUAAAGAGCUCGUAGGUGGUUUGUCGCGUUGUCCGUGAAAACUCACAGCUCAACUGUGGGCGUGCGGGCGAUACGGGCAGACUGGAGUACUGCAGGGGAGACUGGAAUUCCUGGUGUAGCGGUGGAAUGCGCAGAUAUCAGGAGGAACACCGGUGGCGAAGGCGGGUCUCUGGGCCAGUAACUGACGCUGAGGAGCGAAAGCGUGGGGAGCGAACAGG